UACAGGGGGUGCAAACGUUGCUCGGAAUCAUUGGGCGUAAAGCGCACGUAGGCGGUUCGUUAUGUCGGAUGUGAAAGCCCUUGGCUUAACCGAGGAAGUGCAUCCGAAACUGGCGAGCUAGAGUACUAAAGAGGAUCGCGGAAUUCCCGGUGUAGAGGUGAAAUUCGUAGAUAUCGGGAGGAACACCGGUGGCGAAGGCGGCGAUCUGGGUAGAUACUGACGCUGAGACGCGAAAAGCGUGGGGAGCAAACAGG
RNAcentral lists this ribosomal RNA (254 nucleotides) under uncultured bacterium. RNAcentral describes it as "partial 16S ribosomal RNA". It matches the Rfam family "Bacterial small subunit ribosomal RNA", at positions 524 to 776 of the family's 1533-position model. The record is from RNAcentral.